This 253-nucleotide ribosomal RNA is filed under the name uncultured bacterium. Its description in RNAcentral is "partial 16S ribosomal RNA". It matches the Rfam family "Bacterial small subunit ribosomal RNA", at positions 524 to 776 of the family's 1533-position model. The record is from RNAcentral.
UACGUAGGGCGCAAGCGUUGUCCGGAAUUAUUGGGCGUAAAGAGCUCGUAGGCGGCCUGUUGCGUCGGUUGUGAAAGCCCGGGGCUUAACCCCGGGUCUGCAGUCGAUACGGGCAGGCUAGAGUGUGGUAGGGGAGAUCGGAAUUCCUGGUGUAGCGGUGAAAUGCGCAGAUAUCAGGAGGAACACCGGUGGCGAAGGCGGUGCUCUGGGCCAGUACUGACGCUGAGGAGCGAAAGCGUGGGGAGCGAACAGG